GAUGAGGGAGUUUCCCGCCAAAUAAGGGACGGUUGACAGCUAUGGUUGCACAUCUGGUGCGAGGUUUGCCUUCGCAAAGCCGAGCAUCACCUCUACAUCCAGGUGUUCCUUUCCCCGGAGAAUCUCGGAGGAGCUCUGACGAUGUCAGCCUGAAGGGGCUUCACUUGUUGCAGCUGAGAAGGCAGGAGGGCUUGGCCAUCAAACCACGAGAAUUGGAGUUCCCCUUCAUGUAGAUUCCCUCCAGAGCUGAAUUCUCCAGAGUGGACAAAUCCCAUCUGGCAGGUCCUUCCCCUGAGAAAAUCUACAGCCGGAAUGGGGACGUUCCCCAGAGAGUGCGAUUUUUAAGGUUCACAAAACAAGACGUUGCCAUCUGCAUCUCCUCUUCCCCAUCUCUCCCUCAUCAGCGAAGCAACACAGCCAGGGCCGUCGUGCUGUUCAGAACUGUAUCCCCUGGAGAAAUCUCUAUUCCUAAGGGCAAUUUCUAUUUUCCUGCCUCUGUACGGUUUUCUUUGUUUGUUUCUCCAGAUGAAAUAUGACCCACUGGGCCGGGAAAAGAUGGUCAUCACUGAGACAGCCAUUUCUUGGAUUCUAGCUAUCCAUCCCCUCAGCAGAUACUGGGAGAUUUAUGUAGUGUAAGUGAUGUAUAAACAGAACAACACACAUAAAACAAGGACAGUCGGUCCUUGCCCCAAGAGCUCGCAGUCUAAAUUUUGACAGCAGGGGAGAUAAUAAUGAAAGACCAGAGAGUAUGGAGGGAGGAAAGAGCUGGUGCAAAACACCACCGAGAAAGGCAGAGUGGAGUAGCGGUUAGUGUGUGGGAAGAAGACCAGGGAUACAGUACCUGGAACGAUAUCCCUGCACCUUAAGCAACUCUCUUCUUCUCAACCUGAACUACCUUACAGGGUCCUUAUGAGGAUAGGAUUUGAGCUCCUUUGGCAAAAAAGGCAGCAUCAAAACUGUUGUUUCUUCAUCUCAUCUUACCUGCAUGGAUCAUGAUCGUUUUCAAAUUGAUAAAUGUCUUUUCUUCCUUUGUCAUGUUCCAAUAAUAAUAAUAAUAAUAAUUUUUAUUUGUAUCCCGCCC
Podarcis muralis (Common wall lizard) is the source of this 1081-nucleotide non-coding RNA. NCBI's taxonomy places the organism in Eukaryota, Metazoa, Chordata, Lepidosauria, Squamata, Lacertidae. The record is from RefSeq and is a predicted model, not a curated record.